AGGGAGGUUUGUAAACAAUAAGAACUGCUAAUUCUUUUUAUCAGAGUUAGAUUCCCUGGCUCCCUU
This 66-nucleotide transfer RNA is filed under the name Cynoglossus joyneri (red tonguesole). RNAcentral's name for it is "tRNA-Ser". The record is from RNAcentral. Lineage: Eukaryota; Metazoa; Chordata; Actinopteri; Pleuronectiformes; Cynoglossidae.